Nicrophorus vespilloides is the source of this 253-nucleotide long non-coding RNA. RefSeq lists it as uncharacterized. Lineage: Eukaryota; Metazoa; Arthropoda; Insecta; Coleoptera; Silphidae. The record is from RefSeq and is a predicted model, not a curated record. The transcript is spliced from 3 exons.
AACCUUUUUCUUACACACUUUUAUUAUAUGCGAAUCUCAAUACAACUGUUAUAAAUUUUAUCGUUAUCGGAUAACACAUACAAAUGGCUGCUGUUCCAAGUGUUUCAUCAGACGACAGCCAUAAAUUAAUCAAAAUGUUGGCACAUUCUCACUCUCUAUUAACGUACGUCAAAAGCAAAAAUUUAGAGAUAAUCAAAAACUUUAGCCCCAAUAAGAAAAAAGAUCCAAGCGUACCGAAGAAGAAAAAAACUAC